This 483-nucleotide ribosomal RNA is filed under the name uncultured Acidobacteriota bacterium. Its description in RNAcentral is "bacterial SSU rRNA". It matches the Rfam family "Bacterial small subunit ribosomal RNA", at positions 9 to 524 of the family's 1533-position model. Lineage: Bacteria; Pseudomonadati; Acidobacteriota. The record is from RNAcentral.
GAGUUUGAUCCUGGCUCAGAAUCAACGCUGGCGGCGUGCCUAACACAUGCAAGUCGAACGAGAAAGUGGAGCAAUCCAUGAGUACAGUGGCGCACGGGUGAGUAACACGUGACUAACCUACCCUCGAGUGGGGAAUAACUCCGGGAAACCGGGGCUAAUACCGCAUAACAUCGCAAGAUCAAAUGCGUAAGCAGCUUGAGGAGGGGGUCGCGGCUGAUUAGCUAGUUGGUGAGGUAAUGGCUCACCAAGGCUGUGAUCAGUAGCCGGCCUGAGAGGGCGCACGGCCACACUGGAACUGAAACACGGUCCAGACUCCUACGGGAGGCAGCAGUGGGGAAUUUUGCGCAAUGGGGGAAACCCUGACGCAGCAACGCCGCGUGGAGGAUGAAGUCCCUUGGGACGUAAACUCCUUUCGAUCGGGACGAUUAUGACGGUACCGGAAGAAGAAGCCCCGGCUAACUUCGUGCCAGCAGCCGCCGCAGU